AGCUCAUUGACAUAAAAACACAAGCUCACUCACUAGCUGGCACACACACACACACACACAUGCAAGCAAGCUCACUCACUAGCAGGCGCACACACACACACACACACACACACACACACACACACAGCUUAAUGUAGUGGUUCUGGUGUCUAUAGCCUAUCCCUGCAGGCUUUUCAAUGUAAACACUGACUUUUCAGAGAAAAGGCAGUGUUUACAUUGCUUCCUAGUGACACCUCUAGUGACAGACACUCAGACGGUCCCUAGAGGUGCUUCCUGUGUCAGUG
Non-coding RNA from Pelobates cultripes (western spadefoot toad), 284 nucleotides. NCBI's taxonomy places the organism in Eukaryota, Metazoa, Chordata, Amphibia, Anura, Pelobatidae. The record is from the annotation of a GenBank genome assembly.